GAACCUGAUUCUCGUCUUUCGGGGCGUGAUACGUAGGCAACCCACAUAGGGUCCGGUUUUCCUUAUAAAUCUUAGAUUUUUGGCUUUGCAGGGUCAUAGCCAGAUUUUGCACUUCUAGCUACUUUUAGCCACAUAGGUUAGUUUUAGAAUUCAAAGUUACUUGUUGGAAAUUGUGUGAAUUGAGUUGUGUCAAUGGACUCUACUAUUGAAAUUCUUAGAGUUCAAGUUGGAAUUAGAAUUCAGAAGUUUCUUGUUGGAAAUUGUGUGAAUUGAGUUGUGUCAGUGGACUCUACUAUUGAAAUUCUUAGAGUUCAAGUUGGAAUUCUCUUUUCAAACUUCUUUUAUGCUAGUGAAAGUUCUGUUGAGAUCAGUCUUUGCUUGUUGGAGCAUUAUUUUGCGAUUUUAAUUGAAUCUAUGAGUUGUUCGUGGGCCAAUGUUUGAAAGAAAAUCCUGCAUUGAACACCAAUUAUCUUUGUGCUAAGACUGUGG
Molecule: long non-coding RNA, 489 nt
Filed under: Nicotiana benthamiana
Lineage: Eukaryota; Viridiplantae; Streptophyta; Magnoliopsida; Solanales; Solanaceae
Description: long non-coding RNA (NBEN_LNC023848)
Source: RNAcentral